UGAGCGGCGGACGGGUGAGUAACACGUAAGGAACCUGCCUCAAGGAUUGGGAUAACUCCGAGAAAUCGGAGCUAAUACCGGAUAGUUCAACGGACCGCAUGGUCCGCUGAUGAAAGGCGCUCCGGCGUCACCUUGAGAUGGCCUUGCGGUGCAUUAGCUAGUUGGUGGGGUAACGGCCCACCAAGGCGACGAUGCAUAGCCGACCUGAGAGGGUGAUCGGCCACACUGGGACUGAGACACGGCCCAGACUCCUACGGGAGGCAGCAGUAGGGAAUCUUCCACAAUGGACGAAAGUCUGAUGGAGCAACGCCGCGUGAGUGAUGAAGGUUUUCGGAUCGUAAAACUCUGUUGUAAGGGAAGAACACGUACGAGAGGAAAUGCUCGUACCUUGACGGUACCUUACGAGAAAGCCACGGCUAACUACGUGCCAGCAGCCGCGGUAAUACGUAGGUGGCAAGCGUUGUCCGGAAUUAUUGGGCGUAAAGCGCGCGCA
This 493-nucleotide ribosomal RNA is filed under the name Exiguobacterium sp. RNAcentral describes it as "bacterial SSU rRNA". It matches the Rfam family "Bacterial small subunit ribosomal RNA", at positions 92 to 573 of the family's 1533-position model. The record is from RNAcentral. Lineage: Bacteria; Bacillati; Bacillota; Bacilli; Caryophanales.